GAUGAACGCUGGCGGCGUGCUUAACACAUGCAAGUCGAACGAAGCACUUUAUUUGAUUUCCUUCGGGACUGAUUAUUUUGUGACUGAGUGGCGGACGGGUGAGUAACGCGUGGGUAACCUGCCUUGUACAGGGGGAUAACAGUUGGAAACGGCUGCUAAUACCGCAUAAGCGCACGGCAUCGCAUGAUGCAGUGUGAAAAACUCCGGUGGUAUAAGAUGGACCCGCGUUGGAUUAGCUAGUUGGUGAGGUAACGGCCCACCAAGGCGACGAUCCAUAGCCGACCUGAGAGGGCGACCGGCCACAUUGGGACUGAGACACGGCCCAAACUCCUACGGGAGGCAGCAGUGGGGAAUAUUGCACAAUGGGCGAAAGCCUGAUGCAGCGACGCCGCGUGAGCGAAGAAGUAUUUCGGUAUGUAAAGCUCUAUCAGCAGGGAAGAUAAUGACGGUACCUGACUAAGAAGCACCGGCUAAAUACGUG
Molecule: ribosomal RNA, 481 nt
Filed under: uncultured bacterium
Lineage: Bacteria
Description: partial 16S ribosomal RNA
Rfam family: Bacterial small subunit ribosomal RNA
Source: RNAcentral